This 93-nucleotide transfer RNA is filed under the name Armillaria gallica. RNAcentral describes it as "tRNA-Glu". Lineage: Eukaryota; Fungi; Basidiomycota; Agaricomycetes; Agaricales; Physalacriaceae. The record is from RNAcentral.
UCGGAUAUGGUGUAACGGCUAACAUUGCCGCUCUUCAUUCGUAUACGCAGGAAUUUUUCGCGGGAGCUCGGGGUUCGAUUCCCCAUAUCCGAA